This 253-nucleotide ribosomal RNA is filed under the name uncultured bacterium. RNAcentral's name for it is "partial 16S ribosomal RNA". It matches the Rfam family "Bacterial small subunit ribosomal RNA", at positions 524 to 776 of the family's 1533-position model. The record is from RNAcentral.
GACGAACCACACGAACGUUAUUCGGAAUUACUGGGCGUAAAGGGCGCGUAGGCGGCCUUCUAAGUCGAACGUGAAAUCCCCGGGCUCAACCCGGGAACUGCGUCCGAUACUGGAAGGCUUGAAUCCGGGAGAGGGAUGCGGAAUUCCAGGUGUAGCGGUGAAAUGCGUAGAUAUCUGGAGGAACACCGGUGGCGAAGGCGGCAUCCUGGACCGGCAUUGACGCUGAGGCGCGAAAGCCAGGGGAGCAAACGGG